RNAcentral lists this small RNA (592 nucleotides) under Talaromyces pinophilus. Its description in RNAcentral is "eukaryotic LSU rRNA". The stretch from base 226 to 379 matches the Rfam family "5.8S ribosomal RNA". Lineage: Eukaryota; Fungi; Ascomycota; Eurotiomycetes; Eurotiales; Trichocomaceae. The record is from RNAcentral.
AAAAUCGUAACAAGGUUUCCGUAGGUGAACCUGCGGAAGGAUCAUUACCGAGUGCGGGCCCUCGCGGCCCAACCUCCCACCCUUGUCUCUAUACACCUGUUGCUUUGGCGGGCCCACCGGGGCCACCUGGUCGCCGGGGGACGCACGUCUCCGGGCCCGCGCCCGCCGAAGCGCUCUGUGAACCCUGAUGAAGAUGGGCCGUCUGAGUACUGUGAAAAUUGUCAAAACUUUCAACAAUGGAUCUCUUGGUUCCGGCAUCGAUGAAGAACGCAGCGAAAUGCGAUAAGUAAUGUGAAUUGCAGAAUUCCGUGAAUCAUCGAAUCUUUGAACGCACAUUGCGCCCCCUGGCAUUCCGGGGGGCAUGCCUGUCCGAGCGUCAUUUCUGCCCUCAAGCACGGCUUGUGUGUUGGGUGUGGUCCCCCCGGGGACCUGCCCGAAAGGCAGCGGCGACGUCCGUCUGGUCCUCGAGCGUAUGGGGCUCUGUCACUCGCUCGGGAAGGACCUGCGGGGGUUGGUCACCACCAUGUUUUUACCACGGUUGACCUCGGAUCAGGUAGGAGUUACCCGCUGAACUUAAGCAUAUCAAUAAGCG